CAACCGUUGUUCGGAUUCAUUGGGCGUAAAGGGUGCGUAGGCGGUCGCGUAAGUCAGGUGUGAAAUCCCGGGGCUCAACCCCGGAACUGCACUUGAUACUGCGUGGCUAGGGUACUGGAGAGGAGACUGGAAUUUACGGUGUAGCAGUGAAAUGCGUAGAUAUCGUAAGGAAGACCAGUGGCGAAGGCGAGUCUCUGGACAGUUACCGACGCUGAGGCACGAAGGCCAGGGGAGCAAACGGG
This 242-nucleotide ribosomal RNA is filed under the name uncultured bacterium. Its description in RNAcentral is "partial 16S ribosomal RNA". It matches the Rfam family "Bacterial small subunit ribosomal RNA", at positions 535 to 776 of the family's 1533-position model. The record is from RNAcentral.